Molecule: long non-coding RNA, 1243 nt
Organism: Brassica napus (rape)
Lineage: Eukaryota; Viridiplantae; Streptophyta; Magnoliopsida; Brassicales; Brassicaceae
Exons: 5
Source: RefSeq, a predicted model, not a curated record
UUAGACCAACUGUGGAUAAUAAGCCACCAUCAAAGGGAAAGAACAGGACUGGUAUUAUUGUUGGCGUCAUUGUUGGCUUAGGACUUUUGAGCAUCCUUGCGGGUGUUGGUAUCUUUAUCAUACGAAAAAGAAGAAAUCCGUACACUGAUGAUGACGGUAAUAAGAACUCUUUUUUUCUUUCUUGAGCUGAAAAUGUUUUGGCAUCAAACUGGAAUAUUCAUCUUUCAGAUUGCUUCAUUUUAAGAACUGUUCUUUUUUUUUCUCGCAGAGCUGCUUAGUAUGGAAAUAAAGCCUUUCACAUUUACUUAUUCGGAACUUAAAAGUGCAACUCAAGAUUUCAAUCUCUCAAACAAGCUUGGAGAGGGUGGGUUUGAGCCUGUUUAUAAGGUACAAACUCAAAUGGUUCAGUUUUCUUUAAAAAUCUCACAAGUCGUGGACCUCUUGAUAAGAAAGUUAUCCAGUGGCUCCUAUCACUUCACCAGAUUGGUCUUGAUGUGAACCGUACAGACAGGUCUUUGGAAUUUUAUGAGAAAAAGGAGAAUCUGUCCAAGCUUUGGGAUAUUCUCUCUGUUUAUGCCUGGAUAGACCAAGAUGUCGAUUACUGUCAAGGAAUGAGUGAUCUUUGUUCUCCAAUGAUUGUUGUUCUUGAAGACGAAGCUGAUUCAUUCUUUUGUUUUGAGAGAUUAAUGUGUCGAUUGCGAGGAAACUUCCGGAGCACGGGGAGAUCUGUUGGAGUUGAAGCUCAACUUACUCAUUUGUUUUCAAUUACUCAUAUUAUUGACACCAAGCUUCACCAACAUCUAGAUAAACUGGGGGGAGGUGACUAUCUCUGUGCUAUUCGGAUUGUUCUACUUCAUGUGAUAGUUUAGUCGGAUCAAAGUUGUGGUGAAAGUGACUAGCAGCUCGGAUGAAAAUUGUCGUGUGACCACAGAAGGCACACUAACAAGAAGGUUCUGGCGCGUAAACAAAGUUGUGGUGAAAGUGACUAGCAGCUCGGAUUCUGACUCUGUCAGUGACAGUGGAGAGAAGAGAAGAAGUAAGGUACAAAGAAACGAAUUAUAAUCAAAAGAAUUGUAUCUUCUGAAUCUGAAGUUGAGAGUGACAACAAGUCGACAACAAUAAACUUAGCAAGUCAGACAAAAAGAGUCGACCCUCCAACCAAUGUGGUUCGAAAGAAGUCAGGAACAAACAUGAUGAACAAAGAACAGGUGGGAAGAAGAGGUAUGAUUCUGAUGCUACCGAG